AUUGAACGCUGGCGGCAGGCCUAACACAUGCAAGUCGAGCGAGAGGCGGACGGGAGAGUCAUGUCUGGGAAACUGCCUGAUGGAGGGGGAUAACUACUGGAAACGGUUGCUGAUAACGCCUACCUUCGGCUGUGCCCAGAUGGGUUGAGCUAGUUGGUGGGGUAUAGGCUCACCAAGGCGACGAUCUCUAGCUGGUCUGAGAGGAUGAACAGCCACACUGGAACUGAGACACGGUCCAGACUCCUACGGGAGGCAGCAGUGGGGAAUAUUGCACAAUGGGCGCAAGCCUGAUGCAGCCAUGCCGCGUGUAUGAAGAAGGCCUUCGGGUUGUAAAGUACUUUCAGCGGGGAGGCGUUACCCGCAGAAGAAGCACCGGCUAACUCCGUGCCAGCAGCCGCGGUAAUAC
RNAcentral lists this ribosomal RNA (406 nucleotides) under uncultured bacterium. RNAcentral's name for it is "partial 16S ribosomal RNA". It matches the Rfam family "Bacterial small subunit ribosomal RNA", at positions 30 to 526 of the family's 1533-position model. The record is from RNAcentral.